CCUACGGGGGGCAGCAGUGAGGAAUAUUGGUCAAUGGCCGAGAGGCUGAACCAGCCAAGUCGCGUGAGGGAAGACGGCCCUACGGGUUGUAAACCUCUUUUGUCGGGGAGCAAAGCGAACCACGUGUGGUUCAUUGAGAGUACCCGAAGAAAAAGCAUCGGCUAACUCCGUGCCAGCAGCCGCGGGAAACGGGAGUUGGGGAGCGUUAUCCGGUUUUAUUGGGUUUAAGGGGUGCGCAGGCGGAGGUGCAAGUCAGCGGUCAAAUUGCGGGGCUCAACCCCGUACUGCCGUUGAAACUGCAUCCCUUGAGUGCGCGAGAAGUAUGCGGAAUGCGUGGUGUAGCGGUGAAAUGCAUAGAUAUCACGCAGAACUCCGAUUGCGAAGGCAGCAUACCGGCGCGCAACUGACGCUCAUGCACGAAAGCGUGGGUAUCGAACAGGAUUAGAUACCCGGGUAGUC
RNAcentral lists this ribosomal RNA (459 nucleotides) under uncultured bacterium. Its description in RNAcentral is "partial 16S ribosomal RNA". It matches the Rfam family "Bacterial small subunit ribosomal RNA", at positions 338 to 795 of the family's 1533-position model. The record is from RNAcentral.